Molecule: ribosomal RNA, 278 nt
Filed under: Clostridioides difficile
Lineage: Bacteria; Bacillati; Bacillota; Clostridia; Peptostreptococcales; Peptostreptococcaceae
Description: partial 23S ribosomal RNA
Rfam family: Bacterial large subunit ribosomal RNA
Source: RNAcentral
AGCGAAAUUCCUUGUCGGGUAAGUCGACCCGCACGAAAGGCGUAACGAUUUGGGCACUGUCUCAACAACAGACUCGGUGAAAUUGUAAUUCCGGUGAAGAUGCCGGAUACCUGCGACAGGACGGACAGACCCCAUGGAGCUUUACUGUAGCUUGACAUUGGGUCUUGGUACUACAUGUACAGGAUAGGUGGGAGGCUUUGAAACCAGGACGCCAGUUUUGGCGGAGCCAUCCUUGGGAUACCACCCUUGUAGUACUGGGACUCUAACCAUAGGCCAUG